Molecule: ribosomal RNA, 227 nt
Filed under: uncultured bacterium
Lineage: Bacteria
Description: partial 16S ribosomal RNA
Rfam family: Bacterial small subunit ribosomal RNA
Source: RNAcentral
AACGUAGGUAACCUGCCCAUGUGUCCGGGAUAACUGCUGGAAACGGUAGCUAAAACCGGAUAGGUAUACAGAGCGCAUGCUCAGUAUAUUAAAGCGCCCAUCAAGGCGUGAACAUGGAUGGACCUGCGGCGCAUUAGCUAGUUGGUGAGGUAACGGCCCACCAAGGCGAUGAUGCGUAGCCGGCCUGAGAGGGUAAACGGCCACAUUGGAACUGAGACACGGCCCAA